CCUACGGGAGGCAGCAGUGAGGAAUAUUGGUCAAUGGGCUUACGCCUGAACCAGCCAAGUCGCGUGAGGGAAGACUGCCCUAUGGGUUGUAAACCUCUUUUGUCAGGGAGCAACGCCGGCUACGUGUAGCCGGACUGAGAGUACCUGAAGAAAAAGCAUCGGCUAACUCCGUGCCAGCAGCCGCGGUAAUACGGAGGAUGCGAGCGUUAUCCGGAUUGAUUGGGUUUAAAGGGUGCGUAGGCGGAAUGCCAAGUCAGCGGUAAAAUCGCGGGGCUCAACCUCGCUCCGCCGUUGAAACUGGCGUUCUUGAGUGGGCGAGAAGUAUGCGGAAUGCGUGGUGUAGCGGUGAAAUGCAUAGAUAUCGCGCAGAACUCCGAUUGCGAAGGCAGCAUACCGGCGCCAAACUGACGCUGAAGCACGAAAGCGUGGGUAUCGAACAGGAUUAGAUACCCUGGUAGUC
This 460-nucleotide ribosomal RNA is filed under the name uncultured bacterium. RNAcentral describes it as "partial 16S ribosomal RNA". It matches the Rfam family "Bacterial small subunit ribosomal RNA", at positions 338 to 795 of the family's 1533-position model. The record is from RNAcentral.